GUACUUGCUUCAGCAGCACAUAUACUAAAAUUGGAAUAAUACAGGGAAGAUUAACAUGGCCACUGUGCAAGGAUGACAUGCAAAUUUGUGGUGUUCCAUAUUUUUUU
Manis pentadactyla (Chinese pangolin) is the source of this 107-nucleotide small nuclear RNA. The record is from RefSeq and is a predicted model, not a curated record. Lineage: Eukaryota; Metazoa; Chordata; Mammalia; Pholidota; Manidae.